GCUUGCGGUACCACCUGACCCGACCGCACGCACAAACACGAAGAUUGCCCGUCCGUGUCACCCUUGAAGACUCUUGGGUCAAGUGCCGCGAGUGCUUGAGAAGGCCGGCACGGCGCACAAAGAGGUAGUGGUGUGGCCACCGCGGUGCCCAGCCACCUUCAUCUACCCAGUGCUGAUGCGAUCCGCCAACUCUUGCCUUCGAAGCACUGGAUCACAGGCGUGGGCCAAUUGCGUGUGAACACGUGUUCAUACACGGCCUGCGGACGUUCCACUAUCAGUAAUGAACCAAGUCUCUCACUACCGGCUUCUUGCCAGAGAGAUGUGUAUGUGUAGUACAUGUAUAACAGUUCACCCACGUGAUGAUUAGAUACAUUUUAGCGAUUUAGGAUUAAAAUUCGAGCGAACAAUUGACUCUUCUUUUCUACACACGGUGGUGGUACGGUGGCUGGUGAGCGGUGCGGAUCUACGAGGGGGCUCACGCGGGGUGGCCUUGGAGGAACUGCUGCCUCUUGGGGAGCAGCGGCAGCGUCCGCUGCUUGAGCCUCUCCAGCGCGAGCGACCCCGCCGGCGGGGCCUGCUCCUCCUCCUCGCUCGGCGGCCCCGGGUCUGGCGAGGGGAACAAUGUGAGAGAGCGGCCACCAUGGGGCCUCGCAGGCCGCACGCCUCGUUGGCCAGACUCAUGAGCGACUGCUUCAUCUCGCGCUGCAGCUCCUGAGGGGGACGGGAAGAGCCCCGGUAGUCGGAGCAAGGGCUCAACGCUCGGCGGGGUCACACGGGAGUCGCGCGCGAAGAGUGCUCACCUCUUCAUGAAGAGCGGCAGCUGCUGGCAGAACACCUCGUGCGUGGCUUUCACGUCCCGCGCGCAGUACGACAUCAGCUCCUGCCGCGGCGCCACACGACAUAAACGAUCGGCAUAAUCAAAGCCAUUGCGUUAUGGAAGAGGGGCCAUUGACCGAAAUGUCGCCUGUUUUUUAUUGUUUCUUGUUAGGGCCACACAGUGUUACUGAUGAAUGUGUUGAGUUCAUUUGUAAUAUCGAAUGGAUGCUUGUACAAUUGUAUAAUACAUAUUUAAACAUUCGUUCCCCCCACUAUCAUGAA
Molecule: long non-coding RNA, 1098 nt
Organism: Lethenteron reissneri (Far Eastern brook lamprey)
Lineage: Eukaryota; Metazoa; Chordata; Hyperoartia; Petromyzontiformes; Petromyzontidae
Source: RefSeq, a predicted model, not a curated record